CGGCGUGGAUUAGGCAUGCAGUCGAACGAGAACGGGUCUUUCGGGACUUAGUAAAGUGGCGAAAGGGUGAGUAGUACCUAGGUAACCUGUCCUGAAGUCGGGGAUAACGGCCGGAAACGGCCGCUAAUACCCGAUGUGGUCGCGGAGUCGCAUGGCUCUGCGACUGAAGGUAGCCUCUGAUUCAAGCUUCUGCUUCAGGAGGGGCCUCGGGCCUAUCAGCUUGUUGGUGGAGUAACGGCCCACCAAGGCUGGGACGGGUAGCCGGUCUGAGAGGAUGGUCGGCCACACUGGGACUGAGACACUGCCCAGACUCCUACGGGAGGCUGCAGUCGAGGAUCUUCCGCAAUGGACGAAAGUCUGACGGAGCGACGCCGCGUGCGGGAGGAAGGCCUUCGGGUUGUAAACCGCUGUCACCUGUUACGAAUCGUACCGAUGUGAAUAGCGUCGGUGCGUGACGAAGGCAGGAGAGGAAGCCACGGCUAACUUCGUGCCAGCAGCCGCGGUAAUACGAAGGUGGCAAGCGUUGUUCGGAAUCACUGGGCAUAAAGCGCGUGUAGGCGGCUCUGUAAGUCGGGUGUGAAAGCCCUCAGCUCAACUGAGGAACUGCGCCCGAAACUGCAUUGCUUGAGGCCUGGAGGGGAGAACGGAAUUCCCGGUGGAGCGGUGAAAUGCGUAGAUAUCGGGAGGAACGCCGGCGGCGAAAGCGGUUCUCUGGACAGGUUCUGACGCUGAGACGCGAAAGCUAGGGGAGCAAACGGGAUUAGAUACCCCGGUAGUCCUAGCCGUAAACGAUGGGCGCUAGGUAGUGCAGGUAUCCAUUCCGGCACUGCCGGAGCAAAUGUUUUAAGCGCCCCGCCUGGGGAGUACGGCCGCAAGGCUAAAACUCAAAGGAAUUGACGGGGGCUCACACAAGCGGUGGAGCAUGUUGCUUAAUUCGAAGCAACGCGAAAAACCUUACCCGGGUUUGA
RNAcentral lists this ribosomal RNA (968 nucleotides) under uncultured Planctomycetota bacterium. Its description in RNAcentral is "bacterial SSU rRNA". It matches the Rfam family "Bacterial small subunit ribosomal RNA", at positions 40 to 984 of the family's 1533-position model. Lineage: Bacteria; Pseudomonadati; Planctomycetota. The record is from RNAcentral.